RNAcentral lists this ribosomal RNA (253 nucleotides) under uncultured bacterium. RNAcentral's name for it is "partial 16S ribosomal RNA". It matches the Rfam family "Bacterial small subunit ribosomal RNA", at positions 524 to 776 of the family's 1533-position model. The record is from RNAcentral.
UACAGAGGGUGCAAGCGUUAAUCGGAAUUAUUGGGUUUAAAGGGUGCGUAGGCGGUCAUGUAAGUCAGUGCUGAAAUAUCCCGGCUUAACCGGGAGGGUGGCAUUGAUACUGUAUGACUUGAGUAAAGUUGAGGUUGGCGGAAUUGACGGUGUAGCGGUGAAAUGCUUAGAUAUCGUCAAGAACACCUAUUGCGAAGGCAGCUAACUGAGCUUUAACUGACGCUGAGGCACGAAAGUGUGGGGAUCAAACAGG